RNAcentral lists this transfer RNA (81 nucleotides) under Felis catus (domestic cat). It matches the Rfam family "tRNA". From Rfam's summary of the family: Transfer RNA (tRNA) molecules are approximately 80 nucleotides in length. Their secondary structure includes four short double-helical elements and three loops (D, anti-codon, and T loops). Further hydrogen bonds mediate the characteristic L-shaped molecular structure. tRNAs have two regions of fundamental functional importance: the anti-codon, which is responsible for specific mRNA codon recognition, and the 3' end, to which the tRNAs corresponding amino acid is attached (by aminoacyl-tRNA synthetases). tRNAs cope with the degeneracy of the genetic code in two manners: having more than one tRNA (with a specific anti-codon) for a particular amino acid; and 'wobble' base-pairing, i.e. permitting non-standard base-pairing at the 3rd anti-codon position. The record is from Rfam by way of RNAcentral. Lineage: Eukaryota; Metazoa; Chordata; Mammalia; Carnivora; Felidae.
GCUCAGUUGGUUAAGCAUCCAACUCUUAAUUUCAGCUCAAGUCAUGAUCUCAGUGUGUGGGUUCGAGCCCCACACUGGGCU